RNAcentral lists this long non-coding RNA (267 nucleotides) under Gossypium raimondii (Peruvian cotton). Its description in RNAcentral is "long non-coding RNA (GRAI_LNC000064)". Lineage: Eukaryota; Viridiplantae; Streptophyta; Magnoliopsida; Malvales; Malvaceae. The record is from RNAcentral.
CAAACGGGGAAAAGAGAAAGUAGUGGAGUAAAUUGCAAAAUCACGAUAUUUUGCACCGAGGUAAGUAAACAUGUGAAAUAAUGUAUUAUUUUGAUAUUAUUUGAUAUGUGUUGAGAUUUAUUUGAACAUAAAAUAAAUAUUUGGCAAAGAUCCUAAAAAUGUGAUUAAAUUGGGAGAAGUGGUAAAGUGUUGAAAAACACAGUUUUUGGUUGAACACUCGGAAUAAGCCGGAUUAUAUUGAAUAACAAGGGGUUGCUAAGUGCUGAU